GACGAACGCUGGCGGCGUGCUUAACACAUGCAAGUCGAACGGAAAGGCCCUGCUUUUGUGGGGUGCUCGAGUGGCGAACGGGUGAGUAACACGUGAGUAACCUGCCCUUGACUUUGGGAUAACUUCAGGAAACUUGUGCUCAUACCGGAUAGGAGCUCCUGCUGCAUGGUGGGGGUUGGAAAGUUUCGGCGGUUGGGGAUGGACUCGCGGCUUAUCAGCUUGUUGGUGGGGUAGUGGCUUACCAAGGCUUUGACGGGUAGCCGGCCUGAGAGGGUGACCGGCCAAAUUGGGACUGAGAUACGGCCCAGACUACAACGGGAGGCAGCGGAGGGGAAUAUUGCACAAUGGGAGGAAGCCUGACGCAGCAAAGCCGCGUGCGGGAUGACGGGCUGCGGGUAGUAAACCGCUAUCGUCUGUGACGAAGCGUGAGUGACGGUAAUGGGUAAAGAAGCACCGGCUAACUACGUG
Molecule: ribosomal RNA, 468 nt
Filed under: uncultured bacterium
Lineage: Bacteria
Description: partial 16S ribosomal RNA
Rfam family: Bacterial small subunit ribosomal RNA
Source: RNAcentral